This 28-nucleotide non-coding RNA is filed under the name Bombyx mori (domestic silkworm). The record is from RNAcentral. Lineage: Eukaryota; Metazoa; Arthropoda; Insecta; Lepidoptera; Bombycidae.
UCACAGUUCACACCAGUGCUACCAGAUC